Molecule: transfer RNA, 58 nt
Filed under: Salmo salar (Atlantic salmon)
Lineage: Eukaryota; Metazoa; Chordata; Actinopteri; Salmoniformes; Salmonidae
Rfam family: tRNA
About the family: Transfer RNA (tRNA) molecules are approximately 80 nucleotides in length. Their secondary structure includes four short double-helical elements and three loops (D, anti-codon, and T loops).
Source: Rfam by way of RNAcentral
UGGCUCAGUUGGUAGAGCAUGGUGUUUGCAAUGCCAGGGUUGUGGGUUCGAUUCACAC